UACGAAGGGGGCUAGCGUUGUUCGGAAUUACUGGGCGUAAAGCGCACGUAGGCGGUGUUCUUUGUCAGAGGUGAAAGCCCGGGGCUCAACUCCGGAAUUGCCUUUGAAACGGGAACGCUAGAGUCCGAGAGAGGAUGGCGGAAUUCCUAGUGUAGAGGUGAAAUUCGUAGAUAUUAGGAAGAACACCGGUGGCGAAGGCGGCCAUCUGGCUCGGUACUGACGCUCAGGUGCGAAAGCGUGGGGAGCAAACAGG
This 253-nucleotide ribosomal RNA is filed under the name uncultured bacterium. RNAcentral describes it as "partial 16S ribosomal RNA". It matches the Rfam family "Bacterial small subunit ribosomal RNA", at positions 524 to 776 of the family's 1533-position model. The record is from RNAcentral.